This 1758-nucleotide ribosomal RNA is filed under the name Pinus taeda (loblolly pine). RNAcentral describes it as "SSU rRNA". It matches the Rfam family "Eukaryotic small subunit ribosomal RNA". Lineage: Eukaryota; Viridiplantae; Streptophyta; Pinopsida; Pinales; Pinaceae. The record is from RNAcentral.
CCUGGUUGAUCCUGCCAGUAUUCAUAUACUUGUCUCAAAGAUUAAGCCAUGCAUGUCUAAGUAUGAACUAAUUCAGACUGUGAAACUGUGGAUCGCUCAUUAAAUCAGCUAUAGUUUUCUUGAUGGUACCAUACUACUCAGAUAACCGUAGUAAUUAUAGAGCUAAUACGUGCACAAGUGCCGACUCUUUGGAAGGGAUGCAAUUUUUAGAUAAAAUGCCAGCGCGGGCUUGCCCGCUUCUCUGGUGAAUCAUGAUAACUCGACGGAUCGCACAGCCCUUGUGCUAGAAAUGCUUCAUUCAAAUUUCUACCCUAUCAAAUUUCGAUGGUAGGAUAGAUGCCUACCAUGGUGAUGACGGGUGACAGAGAAUUAGGGUUCAAUUCCAGAGAGGGAGCCUGAGAAACGGCUGCCACAUCCAAGGAAGGCAGCAGGCAUGCAAAUUACCUAAUCCUGACAUGGGGAGGUAGUAAUAAUAAAUAACAAUAUUGGGCUCAUCGAGUCUGGCAAUUGGAAUGAGUACAAUAUAAAUCCCUUAACGAGGAUCCAUUGGAGGGCCAGUCUGGUGCUAGCAGUCGCAGUAAUUCUAGCUCCAAUAGCAUAUAUUUAAGUUGUUGCAGUUAAAAAGCUUGUAGUUGGAUCUUGGGUCGUAAAGGUCGGUCUGCCUACUCGGUGUGAACCUUCCCUUCCAUCCCUUUUGUUAACGGCGUGAUCCUGGCCUUAAUUGGUUAGGUCACGGCUCCAGCGCUGCUACUUUGAAAAAAUUAGAGUGCUCAAAGCAAGCUUAUGCUCUGAAUACAUUAGCAUGGAAUAAUGUGAUAGGAGUCUGGUCCUAUUGUGUUGGCCUUAGGGACUGGAGUAAUGAUAUAUAGGGACUAUCGGGGAGAUUCGUAUUUCAUUUUCAGAGGUGAAAUUCUUGGAUUUAUGAAAGACGGACCACUGCGAAAGCAUUUGCCAAGGAUGUUUUCAUUAAUCAAGAAUGAAAGUUUGGGGCUUGAAGAUGAUUAGAUACCGUCCUAGUCUCAACCAUAAACGAUGCCAACUAGGGAUCGGCAGAUGUUGCUCUAAGGACCCCGCCAGCACCUUAUGAGAAAUCAGAGUGUUUGGGUUCCAGGGGGAGUGUGGUCAUAAGGAUGAAACUUAAAGGAAUUGAUGGAAGGGCACCACCAGGAGUGGAUCUUGCAGCUUAAUUUGACUCAACAUGGGGAAACUUACUAGGUCCAGACAUAGUAAGGAUUGACAGAUUGAGAGCUCUUUCUUGAUUCUAUGGGUGGUGGUGCAUGGUCGUUCUUAGUUGGUGGAGCGAUUUGUCUGGUUAAUUCUGAUAACAAAUGAGACCUCAACCUGCUAACUAGCUACGUGGAGAUUCCCCUUCACGGACAGCUUCUUAGAGGGACUAUGGCCAUUUAGGCCAUGGAAGUUUGAGGCUAUAAUAGGUCUAUGAUGCCCUUAGAUGUUCUAGGCUAAACAUGCGCUACACUAAUGCAACCAAUGAGUUUUUCUUCCUGGUUCAAGAGGAUUAAGAAAUCUUCUCAAAUUGCAUCAUGAUGGGGAUAGACCAUUGCAAUUAUUGGUAUUCAACGAGGAAUUCCUAAUAAGCAUGUGUCAUCAACUCCUACCGAUUGAAUUAUCCGGUGAAGUGUUCAGAUUGCGUCGACGAUGGUGGUUCACUGCCGUCAACGUCAUGAGAAUUUCAUUGAACCCUAUCAUUUAGAGGAAGGAGAAGUCGUAACAAGGUUACCAUAGGUGAACCUGUGAUAG